This 288-nucleotide ribosomal RNA is filed under the name Triticum aestivum (bread wheat). Its description in RNAcentral is "partial small subunit ribosomal RNA". The record is from RNAcentral. Lineage: Eukaryota; Viridiplantae; Streptophyta; Magnoliopsida; Poales; Poaceae.
AUGUUGCCCGGCAGUGCCGCCAUGCAGUACGCGCAUCGCAGCCAUGCGGUUUGCUGGCGACUCUGGACGGGAGAUGUUGCGUACGUGCGAGGUUCAGAAGGCCCUGGCGUGCAGCUCGGAUGGGCUGCGUGCGCGGUUCAGAUGGGCCAGAAGCGUCGUGCCGUCGGUCGCCCCUACCUACCCCAGCAUGAGCCCGGCGGCCUUCCUCCACCGCUGGGUCGUCGGGUCUGGUGCGGCCUACCCACCGUCGAGGAGCCCCCCGCCCAUUCCUCCGCGCGAGCCCCAUGA